GGGCUCCUACGGGGCGCAGCAGUGGGGAAUAUUGCACAAUGGGGGAAACCCUGAUGCAGCGACGCCGCGUGAGUGAUGAAGUAUUUCGGUAUGUAAAGCUCUAUCAGCAGGGAAGAAAAUGACGGUACCUGACUAAGAAGCCCCGGCUAACUACGUGCCAGCAGCCGCGGUAAUACGUAGGGGGCAAGCGUUAUCCGGAUUUACUGGGUGUAAAGGGAGCGUAGACGGCGCGGCAAGUCUGAUGUGAAAGGCAGGGGCUUAACCCCUGAACUGCUUUGGAAACUGCCAGGCUAGAG
RNAcentral lists this ribosomal RNA (296 nucleotides) under uncultured bacterium. RNAcentral describes it as "partial 16S ribosomal RNA". It matches the Rfam family "Bacterial small subunit ribosomal RNA", at positions 333 to 646 of the family's 1533-position model. The record is from RNAcentral.